AAUUCGCAAAAUUGUACUGAUCGAGAUACGCACUUCCAUAUUUUCUGAAACGGCCCAUUUAAAUCUGGAUCAUCGAAUCAGUAAAAUAUCUAUUUGACCUACUAUUAUAUUUAUGGGAUAAUUGCCUAUAGACCUCUCAUACGUUUGAAAAUAUCUGAUUUACUCCUACUUCUUUUUUUUCUUUCUAAAAUAUCCCUCAUAUGUUCCACCGUUAUUAUAAAAUACCUCCGCAAUUAUCUCCUGUUAAGUUAACUUAGGUUAAACAUGAGUUAAAUAUCUACUACAAUUAAAAAAAAUUAAAAUGACAAUUUUACCCUUAACUUAAGAGCAAAUAAGAAAUAUUGGUGACAGUAAAAGAGUAUAUCGAAAAAGACCAAAAUUCAAAAUACUUUUUGUGCCCCUGACUUUAAGAGCAAAUAAGAAAGUCAGUGAUGGUGGAAGGAUAUAUUUAAAAGGGCAAAAUAAUAAUUUUAGAAAGAUAACAGAGUUCAUUAACAGAUUUUAACUCUAGGAAUAUAUUAGAAAUAGAUUGGAACGUAGAAAGUGUAUUUUCAAUAUUAACCUUUUAAGAGGGGUAAAUCGAAAAGUCGGAAACUUUUCAGGAGUAUAUAAGCAAUUGCCCCUAUAUUUAUAUUAAGAAUG
Molecule: long non-coding RNA, 642 nt
Filed under: Ananas comosus (pineapple)
Lineage: Eukaryota; Viridiplantae; Streptophyta; Magnoliopsida; Poales; Bromeliaceae
Description: long non-coding RNA (ACOM_LNC012700)
Source: RNAcentral